AUGUUAAUUUAUGUGCUGAGUGACUUUGAGGACACUUGGGAUUUAAUGCAUGUGUGCUUUUACUGUCUUCCGCGCAGAACCAGGAAAUUCUUCCACAAACAGCCGUCGGUGGAUAAUGUGAGCGAGACCAGCGUGACGGAUGAGAGCAUGUCAGAGUCCACGACUGCGAGCGUGCCGCGGUUCUACAUGAUGGUAGAAAACGGCGUGGAAGGAUUGGUCGUCCCGGCCGUGGCGUGUCCCCGGAGAGCCGUCUGUCCAUCCUGCUCCUCAGACGCAGGUGACAUUCCCCUUUCUGAGGAGUCGGGAACAAUGUCCCAACACAACAGAGGGUACGAGUGUUCGAUGGUGUCGGCUGCGGUCAUGGAACAGAACCAGCCUCCUCUCCGUCACUCACUGUCGUAUACUUGUACGACUUUCAAACCACCAGCGCUCCCUGAGACUCCCGGUCCAGAGUCCCCUGCUCGUUAGGUCACCAGAGAGGCCGACACAGCUGCACCGCUCAACGCACACACGCUGCAUCAUCUGGAUGAUGCACAAACUGUAAAGUCAGAGUGUCAUUACAAACUGAAACCCUCCACAAAUUAAAGAAAGGCAUUUAGAGCAAACUAAAAUCUGGCUUGCUUUUCAGUAGAUGUGUCAAUUCCAGGCUAGUUCAUGAGGGAAGUCGUAAAACAGCAUCACCUAGAAUAAAUCACGUGGCACACAGAAAAUGAUUUAAAUUACAAGAUGUGGUGAAGAGCAAUUUGUGUAACACAGAGAAAACACAGAGAAGCAAAAAUGGAAAGAAUAAAAACAAACUGCACCACAAGUAAUGGAAAUAAAGGAAACUAUAGUUGACUGAGUGUUGAGACUAAAUAAAAAUGUUGUGUAUCAGUAUUUGGGAUGAAACAGCAUAAACAUCAUGUAAAAUACAAAUGUACAGUAAAAAGUUCUCAGCUUGUUAUCAUCUCAUCAAGUGUUGUAAAAGUUAGUGGAAACAAAAUUAUACAAUUAAACAAAUCACAUGUAUAAACUGAGUUACAAGCGAGCAAACACAAUAAAAAAACGCGUCCACUAACUGAAUUACUCAGAUUAAAAAAUCGAUGGUCAAGUUGUCACGAGACAGAAAGCUUUAUUACUAAUCCAAUGUAAAUACCAGUACUUUAAAAGUCCAGCAUGUAGAAUUAGAUCAGAAUAAUUGGCAGAAAUGGAAUGUAAUUAUACACGAGCAUUAAUGUAUAAUCACCUCAAACUAUGAUGUGUUGUGUUUUCGUUAUGAGGCCUCAAUAAUUAGAGAGGAAGCAGGAAAAUCUGUGUUGUAAUCUAAUUUGUAUAUAAACAAACCGCUUCGAUGAAACUGGUGCAGGACGACAGAACAUGAAGAGUAUCUGCCUGCUUGUGUUAUUAAGGGAUGCAUUUUGUAUCGUUGUUUAGAAAAUCACCUUCAAAUAUUCCCAUUUGUUCUAUAUUUCAUAGAAUAGUUGUAAGUGAGAGGUUAAGUUGUUUUACUGGGAGUGAAACAAGUUCAUCCUGCGAUCAGCUCAAAAUAAUUAAAUGUGAUUUAAACCACAUAAAAAACUGAAAAUGCAACAUCUGUCUGAUAAUAUUCAGCAGGAUGACAGCUAGAAUGUCAGAGCAUUAACUCAAAUCAACUAACUCAACUAACCAACAACUGUGAUAUUGUAUUCAAAUUGUAUAUUUAUUUUUAUACAAAGAUCUCGGUACGUUUCCUCGCGUCAAAGCUUUAAUUACAACUGUGCUCUUAGAAAUAAGGAGGCUGAACUGAACUGGAAUGGACUGUUUGCUUUGGAAAGGGAAGGUUUAUUUCUAUCAGUGUCAAACGUCGGAGCAGAAUGAGUUUUUAUACAUAAAACUGGUAGACUAAUAUUUAUUUGGAGAGAUUUGCAACACACAGGAUGUUUUUUUUUUAUUCUCACUGUAUUCAGCUCGGAUUUUGUCAUUGUCAUCACAUAUGUACCAUCACUGGAAUUAGAACUUGCUUGUUUUUAUUUCAAUCAAUAAAAUUAUAUUCACAAAAAGUACUCUUUUCUCAUGAUCUUCAUAUAAUUGAAAG
This 2053-nucleotide long non-coding RNA is filed under the name Sparus aurata (gilthead seabream). RNAcentral describes it as "lncRNA (ENSSAUG00010024629.1)". The record is from RNAcentral. Lineage: Eukaryota; Metazoa; Chordata; Actinopteri; Spariformes; Sparidae.